Molecule: ribosomal RNA, 497 nt
Filed under: uncultured bacterium
Lineage: Bacteria
Description: partial 16S ribosomal RNA
Rfam family: Bacterial small subunit ribosomal RNA
Source: RNAcentral
GAUGAACGCUGGCGGCGUGCCUAAUACAUGCAAGUCGAGCGAACAGAUGAGGAGCUUGCUCCUCUGACGUUAGCGGCGGACGGGUGAGUAACACGUGGAUAACCUACCUAUAAGACUGGGAUAACUUCGGGAAACCGGAGCUAAUACCGGAUAAUAUAUUGAACCGCAUGGUUCAAUAGUGAAAGACGGUUUUGCUGUCACUUAUAGAUGGAUCCGCGCCGCAUUAGCUAGUUGGUAAGGUAACGGCUUACCAAGGCAACGAUGCGUAGCCGACCUGAGAGGGUGAUCGGCGACACGGGAACGGAGACGCGGUCCAGGCGCCUACGGGAGGGAGCAGGAGGGAAUCUUCCGCAACGGGCGAAAGCCUGACGGAGCAACGCCGCGUGAGUGGUGAAGGUCUUCGGAUCGUAAAACUCUGUUAUUAGGGAAGAACAAAUGUGUAAGUAACUAUGCACGUCUUGACGGUACCUAAUCAGAAAGCCACGGCUAACUACGUG